RNAcentral lists this transfer RNA (67 nucleotides) under uncultured Treponema sp. It matches the Rfam family "tRNA". Rfam says of the family: Transfer RNA (tRNA) molecules are approximately 80 nucleotides in length. Their secondary structure includes four short double-helical elements and three loops (D, anti-codon, and T loops). Further hydrogen bonds mediate the characteristic L-shaped molecular structure. tRNAs have two regions of fundamental functional importance: the anti-codon, which is responsible for specific mRNA codon recognition, and the 3' end, to which the tRNAs corresponding amino acid is attached (by aminoacyl-tRNA synthetases). tRNAs cope with the degeneracy of the genetic code in two manners: having more than one tRNA (with a specific anti-codon) for a particular amino acid; and 'wobble' base-pairing, i.e. permitting non-standard base-pairing at the 3rd anti-codon position. The record is from RNAcentral. Lineage: Bacteria; Pseudomonadati; Spirochaetota; Spirochaetia; Treponematales; Treponemataceae.
GGGAAUAGCUCAGUGGUAGAGCGCGACCUUGCCAAGGUCGAUGUCGCGGGUUCGACUCCCGUUUCCC